Molecule: non-coding RNA, 68 nt
Organism: Podarcis lilfordi (Lilford's wall lizard)
Lineage: Eukaryota; Metazoa; Chordata; Lepidosauria; Squamata; Lacertidae
Source: the annotation of a GenBank genome assembly
GUAGCUCAGUUGGUUAGAGCUGAUGGUGGUGCUGAUAAUGCCAAGGUCGUGGGUUCAAUCUCCAUACA